RNAcentral lists this long non-coding RNA (1921 nucleotides) under Homo sapiens (human). RNAcentral's name for it is "HSALNT0172978". Lineage: Eukaryota; Metazoa; Chordata; Mammalia; Primates; Hominidae. The record is from RNAcentral.
GUCCUCUCCCUUUGUGUAGGAGCUCUGUUUUCACGCUACUAAAUCUUGCAACUGCACUCUUCUGGUCCGUGUUUAUUACGGCUGGAGCUGAGCUUUCACUCGCCCUGCACCACUGCUGCUGGCUGCCGUCACAGACCCGCCACUGACUUCCAUCCCUCCGGAUGCGGCAGGGUGUCCGCUGUGCUCCUGAUCCAGUGAGGCGCCCAAUGCCCCUCCCAAUCGGGCUAAAGGCUUGCCAUUGUUCCUGCACGGCUAAGUGCCUGGGUUUGACCUAAUCAAGCUGAACAUUAGUCACUGGAUUCCACGCUUCUCUUCCAUGACCCACGGCUUCUAAUAGAGCUAUAACACUCACCGCAUGGCCCAGGAUUCCAUUCCUUGGAAUCAGUGAGGCCAAGAACCCCAGGUCAGAGAACAUGAGGCUUGCCACCAUCUUGGAAGCGGUCUGCCACCAUCUUGGGAGCUCUGGGAGCAAAGACCCGCCAGUAACAUUUUGGUGACCACGAAGGGACCUCCAAAGUGAUUUCUUCAGAAGAUGAAAUAGAUCAUCUGCCUUAAGGUUCUGGACCAGUGUAUGCAACACAAUAAACGUUCAGGAAAUGGUUGCUAUGAUGAUGACGACGAUGAUUAUGACAACAAUGAUGAUGAUGAAAUGAGUUGGUUUGUGAAAUAUUACCAUACUUAUAACAGUCAGAGGUAUUGAAAAGGUAUGCCUGGAAAACAUUGUUCCUCAUCAUUCCUUCUACCAAAUAUUUAUUCUAUUCUCAUCAUUUCCUGUAGGUGUGGAUCUUCAGGAGGUUGCCUCUCCCUGGCUGCAGAAUUAUCAUUUUUAGAGAAGCAGUGUGAUAAUCGUGGAACCAUCCCCUACAUUCCUUCACCCAGGAAGGAAGCAAUAUGAGCUGUGUGCACUGUACACUAUAGCAAUGGAGAAUCUGAUUUGACAAGCCAAAGAUCCUACAUUGGUUGCACACAUCAUGGAUAGCCUACGAACUUCCCUUUAAAGAAAGCUACGUAGAAGCAGGAUGAGUAAAAAUUUACAAACUGAAACAGGAACAUUUUCAAGGUGGAGCACAGUGGCGUGAUCUCAGCACACUGGAACCUCCGCCUCCCAGGUUCAAGCAAUUCUCCUGCGUCAUCCUCUCGAGUAGCUGGGACUACAGAUGUGCACCACCACACCUGGCUAAUUUUUUUGUAUUUCUAGUAGAGACAGGGUUUCACCAUGUUGGCCAGGCUGGUCUCAAACUCCUGACCUCGUGAUCCACCUGCCUCUGUCUCCUAAAGUGCUGGGAUUACAGGCAUGAGCCACCAUGCCUCGCCAAUUGAGAGCUAAUGGUUUUAAAGUGUGGCACUUCCCCAUGCACUCUCUCUCUCCUGCUGCCUUAUGAAAAACGUGUUUGUUUCCCCUUUACCUUCUACCAUGAUUGUUAAGUUUCCUGAGGCCUCCCCAGCCAUGUGAACCGAGUCAAUUAAACCUCUUUCCUUUACAAACUACCCAGUCUCAGGUAGUAUCUUUAUAGCAGUGUGAAAACAAACUAAUACACCAAAUAAGACUGAAGAAACUUAUGCUCAUCUCCAAACACUAUCUGCCAUGCUAUAAGCCAUUAGAACUCAUCUGUUUUACAAUCAGGUUUAAAGAAAGUAAGCUCAUGUCAAGGGCAGGGAUGAUUUCCAACAGAAUUGUGUUGCCCUCUCAUUAAUUCAAUGGCUAUAUUAAUUUUGAAAAUAAUGUAAUUAGCAAAUAGUGGCAGAAACAAUACACAUUUUCCCUCUCCUUUAUUUAAAAUGCAUGAUCAUGAUCUGUCAUUUAAUGAAUUCUAAAGAUAACAAAAUAUUAAAUUAUCUUCACCCUGCAAUAGAGGAUCAUGAAGCACAAAAAUGUAGAAAAGUAUGUUUUCCUGAGCUGAUGAUCUCCCAGUAGCAUGAG